AAGCGUGCUAUCCUAAGGACCGGGGCUUGUUUGUAGCUCUAGGUUCUCCAAGUGCAUGCAAGAGAAAAAGGGUCGUCUUUGACUGCUGUGGCCUUUUCAUGCCGUUUGCAACCACUCAACGAUCCUACAGAU
This is a small nucleolar RNA of Cyclopterus lumpus (lumpfish), 132 nucleotides long. The record is from Ensembl. Lineage: Eukaryota; Metazoa; Chordata; Actinopteri; Perciformes; Cyclopteridae.